Molecule: ribosomal RNA, 503 nt
Filed under: uncultured bacterium
Lineage: Bacteria
Description: bacterial SSU rRNA
Rfam family: Bacterial small subunit ribosomal RNA
Source: RNAcentral
CCUGGCUCAGGAUGAACGCUAGCUACAGGGCUUAACACAUGCAAGUCGAGGGGAAACGNUAUUGGAAGCUUGCUUCCGAUAGGCGUCGACCGGCGCACGGGUGAGUAACGCGUAUCCAACCUGCCCAUCACUUGGGGAUAACCUUGCGAAAGUAAGACUAAUACCCAAUGACGUCUCUAGAAGACAUCUGAAAGAGAUUAAAGAUUUAUCGGUGAUGGAUGGGGAUGCGUCUGAUUAGCUUGUUGGCGGGGUAACGGCCCACCAAGGCGACGAUCAGUAGGGGUUCUGAGAGGAAGGUCCCCCACAUUGGAACUGAGACACGGUCCAAACUCCUACGGGAGGCAGCAGUGAGGAAUAUUGGUCAAUGGACGAGAGUCUGAACCAGCCAAGUAGCGUGCAGGAUGACGGCCCUAUGGGUUGUAAACUGCUUUUAUAAGGGAAUAAAGUGAGUCUCGUGAGACUUUUUGCAUGUACCUUAUGAAUAAGGACCGGCUAAUUCCGUG